Molecule: long non-coding RNA, 783 nt
Organism: Manis pentadactyla (Chinese pangolin)
Lineage: Eukaryota; Metazoa; Chordata; Mammalia; Pholidota; Manidae
Exons: 3
Source: RefSeq, a predicted model, not a curated record
CUACGAAGAAAUCCUUUGCUGCUAAUUUUGCUGAAAUGGAGAGAAGCAUAGGAGAAGAGACACCAUUUCUUCACGCUGACUUUGGAAUGACUCAGAGCACGGAGCAGGAGCCUGAAAGAUGGAGGCAGCUCGACGUGUACUGAUGUGGAAACAGCUCCAACCCCCGUUGGUUAGGUCAGCGACGUCUGCAACAAAUAUGAUCACAAGGGUGAAGGUGACAUGAUUUACUUAAAUCAGGCAAUUUCUUCAUUAAAGCAUUGAAGCCUCAACUCAUAAAGACACUCUUUAGCAGAUGAACUAUAAUGUCGCCCAGCAUUUGUCAUAUUAGGUGAUUUGAAAAGAAAGAACAAUUAUAAAAAUGAAUGUAAUUCUCUGUUGAAGAAAAAAAAUUCAGUUUUUGCAGCAGGGGGUGGUUAAUUUUCCACAGAUAAAAACAGGUUUCACAGUCAUUCCGCAGCUAUAAGAUUCCACAAUUAAAACAUAAGAAGAAAGGGCUGCACCGCCAAAGCAGACAGUUGUAGGAAUUAGUUGUUUGGGGCUGGGGAAGCAGGUUUCCCCUCCAGCAUCAAAGGUUAUUUUGUCCCCAGAGGAACAGUUCUGUUGCCAUAAACUGUGCUGGUGUGCCCCCAACCCCCCACCUUAGCCCAGCGUCUGAGCUGCUUUCAAUUAGCAGGGAUUAUUAAACUGGAAACAUUUUAAACUGCUGCUGAAGCUGCUUUCCUGCCUUAUGAGCUGAGCUAGAGGCGUCACAAUAAAAGCUGAUUGAUUAGCAAAGAAUGUACU